GAUGAACGCUGGCGGCGUGCCUAAUACAUGCAAGUCGAGCGAACAGACGAGGAGCUUGCUCCUCUGACGUUUGCGGAGGACGGGUGAGAAACACGUGGAUAACCUACCUAUAAGACUGGGAUAACUUCGGGAAACCGGAGCUAAUACCGGAUAAUAUAUUGAACCGCAUGGUUCAAUAGUGAAAGACGGUUUUGCUGGCACUAAUAGCUGGUUCUGCGCCGGAUUGGCUGGUUGGUAAGGUAACGGCUUACCAAGGCAACGAUGCGUAGGCGAGCUGAUGGGGGGAUCGGCCACACGGGAGCUGAACCACGGUCCUGGCUCCUGAGGGAGGCAGCAGUAGCGAAUGUUCCGCAGUGGGCGGGAGCCUGACGGAGCGGCGCGGAGUCAGUGGUGGAAAUCUUCGGAUCGUAAUACUGUGUUAUGGGGUGAGAACAACUUUGUAAGUAAAUAUGCACUUCUUGACGGUACCUAGUCAGAAAGCCCCGGCUAACUACGUG
RNAcentral lists this ribosomal RNA (497 nucleotides) under uncultured bacterium. RNAcentral's name for it is "partial 16S ribosomal RNA". It matches the Rfam family "Bacterial small subunit ribosomal RNA", at positions 28 to 507 of the family's 1533-position model. The record is from RNAcentral.